AUGGGCGGCGGCGGCGGAGGCAGAGGCGGUGGUGGCGGUGGUGGCGCGGCGAGCGUGCGGGAGCCUCAUGACUUUGGCAACGUUGCAUCCUUCUCCGAGUUGCCAUUCCUGCGCUCCGGCGCUCCUCCACGAGAAAGCCCCAACUCUGGCAUUCGUCUCUUCGGCAUUGACGUCCCGCAUGCAUCACCUGAGGGAAGAAUUAAAGAAGCCACCGCUGCCAGCAGCGCGACCCCUUCUGCCACCACGCAGAGCAGCAGUGGAGCUGCCAUCACCGCUGCAAGCGCCGCCCCGGACAGCAACCGCAAGUUCGAGUGCCACUACUGCUGCAGGCAUUUCCCGACGUCACAGGCUCUCGGCGGCCACCAGAACGCGCACAAGCGCGAGCGGCAGCACGCGAAGCGGGUGCAGAUGCAGUCAGCGAUGGCCGCGGCAGCAGCGGCUGCUGGCAGUGCGCACCACUACCAUCUCCUUGGCUACCCGCAGCACCGCUUCGGUGCGACAUUGUACCCGUCGUGGACCAUGGUGAGUGGCGGUGUCUCCUAUGGCCAGCAGUUCUACAGAGGGAUCGGGUCGGUCGGUCAGCCGAUCAACAGGAACCCCCUGCCUGAGGCGCAGUGGAGGAGGCCGCUGGCUGCGCAUGCCAACAUGGGCAUGCCGUUGGCUGGAGAGCGGCAGCCGGUCACGCUGCACAUGUUUGGAGAAGAGCAGAGAGCUUCCCCUUCUCUUGGGGCGGCCUCCACCUCCUCUUCCUCUUUACUGCUCUCCCCGCAAGGUCAGUCUGCUUGCGAGCAGCCAGCCACCACCGCAGCACCCGAGGGUGUGAGCUUAGAUUUGCAUCUAUAA
RNAcentral lists this ribosomal RNA (843 nucleotides) under Triticum aestivum (bread wheat). Its description in RNAcentral is "partial small subunit ribosomal RNA". The record is from RNAcentral. Lineage: Eukaryota; Viridiplantae; Streptophyta; Magnoliopsida; Poales; Poaceae.